This is a small nucleolar RNA of Nyctereutes procyonoides (raccoon dog), 81 nucleotides long. RefSeq annotates it as small nucleolar RNA SNORD115. The record is from RefSeq and is a predicted model, not a curated record. NCBI's taxonomy places the organism in Eukaryota, Metazoa, Chordata, Mammalia, Carnivora, Canidae. The transcript has a single exon.
GUGUCAAUGAUGAGAACUCAUAUCGUCUCGAAGAGAGAUGAUGACAUAAAAAUCAUGCCCAAUAGGCUUACACUGACACCC